AGUGAACGCUGGCGGUAGGCCUAACACAUGCAAGUCGAACGGCAGCACAGGAGAGCUUGCUCUCUGGGUGGCGAGUGGCGGACGGGUGAGGAAUACAUCGGAAUCUGCCCAGUCGUGGGGGAUAACGUAGGGAAACUUACGCUAAUACCGCAUACGACCUUCGGGUGAAAGAGGGGGAUCGCAAGACCUCUCGCGAUUGGAUGAGCCGAUGUCGGAUUAGCUAGUUGGCGGGGUAAUGGCCCACCAAGGCGACGAUCCGUAGCUGGUCUGAGAGGAUGAUCAGCCACACUGGAACUGAGACACGGUCCAGACUCCUACGGGAGGCAGCAGUGGGGAAUAUGGGACAAUGGGCGCAAGCCUGAUCCAGCCAUACCGCGUGGGUGAAGAAGGCCUUCGGGUUGUAAAGCCCUUUUGUUGGGAAAGAAAUCUUUCAGGCUAAUACCCUGGGAGGAUGACGGUACCCAAAGAAUAAGCACCGGCUAACUUCGUG
RNAcentral lists this ribosomal RNA (490 nucleotides) under uncultured bacterium. RNAcentral describes it as "partial 16S ribosomal RNA". It matches the Rfam family "Bacterial small subunit ribosomal RNA", at positions 29 to 507 of the family's 1533-position model. The record is from RNAcentral.